UCGCUGAGAGGAGGUGCAUGGCCGUCGUCAGUUCGUACUGUGAAGCAUCCUGUUAAGUCAGGCAACGAGCGAGACCCGUGCCCACUGUUGCCAGCAUGUCCUUCGGGAUGAUGGGUACUCUGUGGGGACCGCCGAUGCUAAAUCGGGAGGAAGGUGCGGGCUACGGUAGGUCAGUAUGCCCCGAAUCUCCCGGGCUACACGCGAGCUACAAUGGUUGGUACAAUGGGUAUCUACCCCGAAAGGGGACGGGAAUCUCCUAAAACCAAUCUUAGUUCGGAUUGAGGGCUGCAACUCGCCCUCAUGAAGCUGGAAUCCGUAGUAAUCGCGUUUCAACAGAACGCGGUGAAUACGUCCCUGCUCCUU
RNAcentral lists this ribosomal RNA (363 nucleotides) under uncultured Methanosaeta sp. RNAcentral's name for it is "bacterial SSU rRNA". It matches the Rfam family "Archaeal small subunit ribosomal RNA", at positions 977 to 1338 of the family's 1478-position model. Lineage: Archaea; Methanobacteriati; Methanobacteriota; Methanomicrobia; Methanotrichales; Methanotrichaceae. The record is from RNAcentral.